AUUGAACGCUGGCGGCAGGCUUAACACAUGCAAGUCGAGCGGGGUGAUGGUGCUUGCACUAUCACUUAGCGGCGGACGGGUGAGUAAUGCUUAGGAAUCUGCCUAUUAGUGGGGGACAACAUCUCGAAAGGGAUGCUAAUACCGCAUACGUCCUACGGGAGAAAGCAGGGGAUCACUUGUGACGUUGCGCUAAUAGAUGAGCCUAGGUCGGAUUAGCUAGUUGGUGGGGUAAAGGCCUACCAUGGCGGCGAUCUGUAGCGGGUCUGAGAGGAUGAUCCGCCACACUGGGACUGAGACACGGCCCAGACUCCUACGGGAGGCAGCAGUGGGGAAUAUUGGACAAUGGGGGGAACCCUGAUCCAGCCAUGCCGCGUGUGUGAAGAAGGCCUUAUGGUUGUAAAGCACUUUAAGCGAGGAGGAGGCUCUUUUGGUUAAUACCCAAGAUGAGUGGACGUUACUCGCAGAAUAAGCACCGGCUAACUCUGUGCCAGCCGCCGCCGUAA
Molecule: ribosomal RNA, 503 nt
Filed under: uncultured bacterium
Lineage: Bacteria
Description: partial 16S ribosomal RNA
Rfam family: Bacterial small subunit ribosomal RNA
Source: RNAcentral